RNAcentral lists this ribosomal RNA (1998 nucleotides) under oral metagenome. Its description in RNAcentral is "bacterial LSU rRNA". It matches the Rfam family "Bacterial large subunit ribosomal RNA", at positions 1 to 2020 of the family's 2925-position model. The record is from RNAcentral.
AAAAGUUACAAAGAGCAAACGGUGGAUGCCUAGGCUUUUGGAGGCGAUGAAGGACGUGGUAAGCUGCGAAAAGCUUCGGGUAGGUGCUAAACAACCUUUGAUCCGAAGAUAUCCGAAUGGGACAACCCAUCAUAUUUUUAUGAUAUUCUCCGUAAGGAGAAGGCUAACCCGGAGAACUGAAACAUCUAAGUACCCGGAGGAAAAUAAAACAACAGUGAUUCCCUAAGUAGAGGCGAUCGAACGGGGAUUAGCCCAAACCGCAAUUGUUUCGGCAUUUGCGGGGUUGUAGGGUAUCUAUAAUUUAUGAUUCUAAAGAAGUGGAACUUAAUUGGAAAGUUAGACAAUAUAGGGUGAUAGUCCCGUACACGUGUUUUAGAAUUAUGAAGAGGUAUUCCUGAGUAGGACGGGGCACGAGAAACCCUGUUUGAAUCCGCGAGGACCAUCUCGCAAGGCUAAAUACUCCCAAAAGACCGAUAGUGAACCAGUACCGUGAGGGAAAGGUGAAAAGUACCCCUAUAAGGGGAGUGAAAUAGUACCUGAAACCGUUUGCUUACAAGCGGUCGGAGCCAUUUCGUAUGGUGACGGCGUGCCUUUUGCAUAAUGAGCCUACGAGUUACUUUAUAUAGCGAGGUUAAGUUACUCAGUAACGUAUCCGAAGCGAAAGCGAGUUUUAAUAGAGCGAUUUAGUUAUAUGGAGUAGACGCGAAACCAAGUGAUCUACCCAUGGUCAGGAUGAAGCUGUGGUGAAACACAGUGGAGGUCCGAACCGGUUGACGUUGAAAAGUCUUCGGAUGAACUGUGGGUAGGGGUGAAAGGCCAAUCAAACUUGGAGAUAUCUCGUACUCCCCGAAAUGCCUUUAGGGGCAGCCUCAGAGUUAUUGUUAUAGAGGUAGAGCUACCGAUUGGGUGCGAGGGUUUCACCGCCUAUCAAUCCCUGACGAACUCCGAAUGCUAUAACAUUUAUCUGGGAGUGAGGCUAUGGGUGCUAAGGUCCAUAGCCUAAAGGGAAACAACCCGGACCACCAGCUAAGGUCCCUAAAUGCUAUCUAAGUUGUUCUAACGCGGUCUGUUUGCAUAGACAGGUAGGAUGUUGGCUUGGAAGCAGCCAUUCAUUUAAAGAGUGCGUAACAGCUCACUAUUCGAGCGAACAGGCAUGGAUGAUAAUCGGGCAUAAAGUUAGCUACCGAAGCUGUGGGAUUACAAUGUAAUCGGUAGGGGAGCAUUCCAGCGACGUAGAAUCAGUUUGGCGAUGAACUGUGGAGUUUCUGGAAAAGCAAAUGUAGGCAUAAGUAACGAUAAUCACGGCGAGAAACCGUGACGCCGAUACUGUUCAAGGUUUCCUGAAUCUAUGCUAAUCAUAGCAGGGUUAGUCGGGUCCUAAGCAAAACCCGAAUGGGGUAUGCGAUGGCAAAUCGGUUAAUAUUCCGAUACUUUAUUAUAGAGUGAUGGUGCGACGAAGGAGUGACAAGCUCGCGAACUGACGGAAUAGUUCGUUGAAGGGAGUAGAUAUACGUUUUGUAGGCAAAUCCGCAGAAUGUGUCGAACCUGAUAGUACUAAGCGCUAUUCAUAGCAAUUAGAUAGUAGCUGUAAACAUACUUCCAAGAAAAACAUCUAAGCUUAUCUAUAAUAAACCCGUACCGUAAACCGACACAGGUGAAGAGGUAGAGAAUACUGAGGCGCUCGAGUGAAUCGUGGCUAAGGAACUAGGCAAAUUGACCCCGUAACUUCGGGAUAAGGGGUGCUCCUUCGGGAGCCGCAGAGAAAUGGCCCGGGCGACUGUUUAGCAAAAACACAGGGCUUUGCAAAACCGCGAGGUGCGGUAUAAGGCCUGACGCCUGCCCAGUGCCGGAAGGUUAAGGGGGGAUGUAAUCUUCGGAGAAGCAUUGAACUGAAGCCCUGGUAAACGGCGGCCGUAACUAUAACGGUCCAAAGGUAGCGAAAUUCCUUGUCGGGUAAGUUCCGACCUGCACAAAUGGCGUAACGAUCUGGGCACUGUC